CAGUCGAGCGAACAGAUAAGGAGCUUGCUCCUUUGAAGUUAGCGGCGGACGGGUGAGUAACACGUGGGUAACCUACCUAUAAGACUGGGAUAACUUCGGGAAACCGGAGCUAAUACCGGAUAACAUUUAGAACCGCAUGGUUCUAAAGUGAAAGAUGGUUUUGCUAUCACUUAUAGAUGGACCCGCGCCGUAUUAGCUAGUUGGUAAGGUAACGGCUUACCAAGGCGACGAUACGUAGCCGACCUGAGAGGGUGAUCGGCCACACUGGAACUGAGACACGGUCCAGACUCCUACGGGAGGCAGCAGUAGGGAAUCUUCCGCAAUGGGCGAAAGCCUGACGGAGCAACGCCGCGUGAGUGAUGAAGGGUUUCGGCUCGUAAAACUCUGUUAUUAGGGAAGAACAAAUGUGUAAGUAACUGUGCACAUCUUGACGGUACCUAAUCAGAAAGCCACGGCUAACUACGUGCCAGCAGCCGCGGUAAUACGUAGGUGGCAAGCGUUAUCCGGAAUUAUUGGGCGUAAAGCGCGCGUAGGCGGUUUCUUAAGUCUGAUGUGAAAGCCCACGGCUCAACCGUGGAGGGUCAUUGGAAACUGGGAAACUUGAGUGCAGAAGAGGAAAGUGGAAUUCCAUGUGUAGCGGUGAAAUGCGCAGAGAUAUGGAGGAACACCAGUGGCGAACGCGACUUUCUGGUCUGUAACUGACGCUGAUGUGCGAAAGCGUGGGGAUCAAACAGGAUUAGAUACCCUGGUAGUCCACGCCGUAACGAUGA
Molecule: ribosomal RNA, 770 nt
Filed under: Staphylococcus xylosus
Lineage: Bacteria; Bacillati; Bacillota; Bacilli; Caryophanales; Staphylococcaceae
Description: bacterial SSU rRNA
Rfam family: Bacterial small subunit ribosomal RNA
Source: RNAcentral